GUCCACACCGUAAACGUUGGGCGCUAGGUGUGGGAUCCAUUACACGGGUUCCGUGCCGCAGCUAACGCAUUAAGCGCCCCGCCUGGGGAGUACGGCCGCAAGGCUAAAACUCAAAGGAAUUGACGGGGCCCGCACAAGCGGCGGAGCAUGCGGAUUAAUUCGAUGCAACGCGAAGAACCUUACCUGGGUUUGACAUACGCCGGAAAGCUCUAGAGAUAGAGCCCCCUUUUAGUCGGUGUACAGGUGGUGCAUGGAUGUCGU
This 261-nucleotide ribosomal RNA is filed under the name uncultured bacterium. RNAcentral's name for it is "partial 16S ribosomal RNA". It matches the Rfam family "Bacterial small subunit ribosomal RNA", at positions 793 to 1055 of the family's 1533-position model. The record is from RNAcentral.